UCCGUAGGUGAACCUGCGGAAGGAUCAUUAUCGAAACCCCAAAGUCCAGGGGGCUUAUCGAGGGAGGCAGAGGACCUCCGCGAAUUCAAGGAGGGCAGGACUCCGCUAGCAGGGCGGCUGCGGCCCCUUGGCCGUCCUCGCGUAAGGUUGGGCUAACGUGUCCGGUCGGAGUGGGUUCAAGGCACACGUUGUAACGACACGCGUGUGAUGCCCUCACGUAACCCAGUCGAGCCCUGUGUGGAUCGCGCGGAAGAUGCUGUCCGGUGAGCGAAGCCAAUCGCGACCCGGGCCGGCCUGUUCGGAGGCAAGCAGCUAUCCGUUAGUGUGAAGCCGAUAACGACCCAGUCCGGCGUGUUAAGCCGAACACGACUCGGUCGGACCUGUGAGUCUUGUAAGGCCCUUCGGCUUGCGUCCGCCUCUAUGGCCGCCGUCGUGGGGGACGACAUUCUCUCUUGAACUCGGAAAACCGGACGCCCUCCCAUUCAUGGAGGAGAGAGGGCCGUCUAAGACCCGCUUGGCUUGACCUGUUGCACCGUCUACAGCCAUCUUCCGAGUGUGUGCAAUGGGAGAGAACGAAGCCCGCGAUUGGGGAAUUCGAGAUGCCCUCCCAUUUAUUGGGGCGUGGGGAGGUUUGUGUACUCCCAGACCAGCUCCGAGUCGUGCCGCCGUCUACUACCACAGACCUUUGUCUGAGACCGCUGGCCGAUGCCGUCGAGCACGUCACAAGUCAUCCUCGAAUUCACAUCCGUCCGUCUAUGACGGGCGCGGCCCACUACGGACGUGAGAGUUCGUUAACACGGGUCGCGAGCGUCCGUUAACACGGGCGUGAGCGUCCGUUACGGUACCGUCUUUCUCGAUAGACAAAGCCCUUUGGCACCCCUUCACAUACCACACCCGUGCAACUAUUGCCGCGGUGCAAGGCCCACGUUCGGUCCUUCCGCGCGUGUGAAGCCCUCUGCCCGCGGCGCCCUUACAAACCCCAUAAUGUCAGAACGUUGUCCCGAUAUAACAAUGAAAGAGUUUAAUAACAACUCUCAGCGACGGAUCUCUUGGCUCUCGCAUCGAUGAAGAACGCAGCGAAAUGCGAUAAGUAAUGUGAAUUGCAGAAUCCAGUGAAUCAUCGAACCUUUGAACGCACCUUGCGCCCCUCGGUAUUCCGAGGAGCAUGCCUGUUUGAGCGUCGCGGAACCCUCAACUCCGUCCGCCUUUGUUGGGGCGGGCUCGGAGCUUGGAAUUGGAGGCCCUUUGCCGCGCCUUUCCCUUCUACGAUCCGUAGACCGGGGGUGGCCGCGCGGCUCCUCCCAAACGCAUUAGCCCGGACCGGAUUGAAAAGGGAACCAUCGGACCGGCGUCGAUAGGGGCGUUCGCGCCCACGUCAACGCCGUUGAACGGGAACCCUAGAAAUCGUUAAGGUCGGCUUCUAAAAGGCGCGUCUCGUCGGGGGCGGGUCGGAUGGACAAACAGAUUAGAGCGGAUCGAAAAAGUACCUCGAUGUGAGGAGUUUGUAGGUUCCACCCCGAUAGCCGUUAUAGACGGAAUGCCACAGUGGGCGGGGACCGCUCCGAAAGGAAGAGGGAAAAUAAAAGAUCUCGACUCCGGUUUGGCGUCCCUCCUCCCUCCGCCGUCUCGAGGCGUCAGAAACCCUUUGACCUCAGAUCAGGCAGGACUACCCGCCGAACUUAAGCAUAUCAAUAAGCGGAGGA
RNAcentral lists this ribosomal RNA (1703 nucleotides) under Wolfiporia cocos. RNAcentral describes it as "eukaryotic LSU rRNA". The stretch from base 1030 to 1183 matches the Rfam family "5.8S ribosomal RNA". Lineage: Eukaryota; Fungi; Basidiomycota; Agaricomycetes; Polyporales; Phaeolaceae. The record is from RNAcentral.